RNAcentral lists this ribosomal RNA (713 nucleotides) under Lactiplantibacillus plantarum. RNAcentral's name for it is "bacterial SSU rRNA". It matches the Rfam family "Bacterial small subunit ribosomal RNA", at positions 76 to 777 of the family's 1533-position model. Lineage: Bacteria; Bacillati; Bacillota; Bacilli; Lactobacillales; Lactobacillaceae. The record is from RNAcentral.
UGAUUUACAUUUGAGUGAGUGGCGAACUGGUGAGUAACACGUGGGAAACCUGCCCAGAAGCGGGGGAUAACACCUGGAAACAGAUGCUAAUACCGCAUAACAACUUGGACCGCAUGGUCCGAGUUUGAAAGAUGGCUUCGGCUAUCACUUUUGGAUGGUCCCGCGGCGUAUUAGCUAGAUGGUGGGUAACGGCUCACCAUGGCAAUGAUACGUAGCCGACCUGAGAGGGUAAUCGGCCACAUUGGGACUGAGACACGGCCCAAACUCCUACGGGAGGCAGCAGUAGGGAAUCUUCCACAAUGGACGAAAGUCUGAUGGAGCAACGCCGCGUGAGUGAAGAAGGGUUUCGGCUCGUAAAACUCUGUUGUUAAAGAAGAACAUAUCUGAGAGUAACUGUUCAGGUAUUGACGGUAUUUAACCAGAAAGCCACGGCUAACUACGUGCCAGCAGCCGCGGUAAUACGUAGGUGGCAAGCGUUGUCCGGAUUUAUUGGGCGUAAAGCGAGCGCAGGCGGUUUUUUAAGUCUGAUGUGAAAGCCUUCGGCUCAACCGAAGAAGUGCAUCGGAAACUGGGAAACUUGAGUGCAGAAGAGGACAGUGGAACUCCAUGUGUAGCGGUGAAAUGCGUAGAUAUAUGGAAGAACACCAGUGGCGAAGGCGGCUGUCUGGUCUGUAACUGACGCUGAGGCUCGAAAGUAUGGGUAGCAAACAGGA